Molecule: ribosomal RNA, 370 nt
Filed under: uncultured eukaryote
Lineage: Eukaryota
Description: partial 18S ribosomal RNA
Rfam family: Eukaryotic small subunit ribosomal RNA
Source: RNAcentral
CAAUAGCGUAUAUUAAAGUUGUUGCAGUUAAAAAGCUCGUAGUUGGACCUUGGACCUGGACAGGCGGUCCGCCUCACGGCGUGUACUGUCUUGCUGGGUCUUUCCUCUUGGUGAUCUGUUGUUUCGGCAGCAGGGAACCAGGACUUUUACUUUGAAAAAAUUAGAGUGUUCAAAGCAGGCUCGACGCCGGAAUAUAUUAGCAUGGAAUAAUAAAAUAGGACGUGCGGUUCUAUUUUGUUGGUUUUUGGAAUCGCCGUGAUGAUUAAUAGGGACAGUCGGGGGCAUUAGUACUCACAUGCUAGAGGUGAAAUUCUUGGAUUUUGUGAAGACUAACUUCUGCGAAAGCAUUUGCCAAGGAUGUUUUCAUUAA